This 108-nucleotide ribosomal RNA is filed under the name Meriones unguiculatus (Mongolian gerbil). The record is from RNAcentral. Lineage: Eukaryota; Metazoa; Chordata; Mammalia; Rodentia; Muridae.
GUUGCCAACCAUACUAGCCUGAACGCGCCCACACUCAUCUGAUCUCAGAAGCCAAGCAGGGUUGUCCCUGGGUACCGCUUGGACGGGAAAGCAAAGUGAUGGGCACUU